RNAcentral lists this ribosomal RNA (320 nucleotides) under uncultured eukaryote. RNAcentral's name for it is "partial 18S ribosomal RNA". It matches the Rfam family "Eukaryotic small subunit ribosomal RNA", at positions 1470 to 1796 of the family's 1831-position model. The record is from RNAcentral.
CCCCUAGAUGUUCUGGGCCGCACGCGCGCUACACUGAACAGUUCAACAAGUCUUAACCUUGGCCGAUAGGUCUGGGUAAUCUUUGAACGCUGUUCGUGAUUGGGAUAGACCUUUGCAAUUAUGGGUCUUCAACGAGGAAUUCCUAGUAAACGCAAGUCAUCAGCUUGCAUUGAUUACGUCCCUGCCCUUUGUACACCCCGCCCGUCGCACCUACCGAUUGAAUGGUCCGGUGAAAUCUCGGGACGGCGGCUUGGUCGCUUGCGUCCGACUGCUGAAACUUGAUUAAACCAUAUCAUUUAGAGGAAGGUGAANUCGUAACA